This 402-nucleotide long non-coding RNA is filed under the name Gossypium raimondii (Peruvian cotton). RNAcentral's name for it is "long non-coding RNA (GRAI_LNC009269)". Lineage: Eukaryota; Viridiplantae; Streptophyta; Magnoliopsida; Malvales; Malvaceae. The record is from RNAcentral.
AAAAGAAGAGGAGAGGAAGUGUGACGGGAUGAGGUGUGGUGAACGAUGGUUGAGGGUUUGGUCAUGAUGGAGGAAAGGAGCAAAGAUUAAAAGAAAGGGUGGUGGUUAUUUUGAAAAAUGGAGAGAAAAUGGAUGAUAACAGAAAUGAAAAAGAGAAAAAUAGGAGUAAGUGGGAGGUAAGGAUGGCAAAAUGAGGUUAGGAGGGUGGGAAUAGGUUGGUCAACUAGUUUUAGGAUCAAUGAACCUCUUGUAUGGCAGGGAUAAGAAGUUUUGGCAAGGGAGGGAGACAUGAGGUAAAAAUGGGGAUCAUGCACCCUCAACUUAAGGUAAGAUUGACUGAUAUUGGAGGAAAGGAAUCCUCCUAUUUAUGGUGAAAAAGGGGUGGACGACAAGCACUUAAAU